Molecule: ribosomal RNA, 468 nt
Filed under: uncultured bacterium
Lineage: Bacteria
Description: partial 16S ribosomal RNA
Rfam family: Bacterial small subunit ribosomal RNA
Source: RNAcentral
GACGAACGCUGGCGGCGUGCUUAACACAUGCAAGUCGAACGGAAAGGCCCUGCUUUUGUGGGGUGCUCGAGUGGCGAACGGGUGAGUAACACGUGAGUAACCUGCCCUUGACUUUGGGAUAACUUCAGGAAACUGGGGCUAAUACCGGAUAUGAGCUCCUGCUGCAUGGUGGGGGUUGGAAAGUUUCGGCGGUUGGGGAUGGACUCGCGGCUUAUCAGCUUGUUGGUGGGGUAGUGGCUUACCAAGGCUUUGACGGGUAGCCGGCCUGAGAGGGUGACCGGCCACAUUGGGACUGAGAUACGGCCCAGACUCCUACGGGAGGCAGCAGUGGGGAAUAUUGCAAAAUGGGCGGAAGCCUGAUGCAGCAACGCCGCGUGCGGGAUGACGGCCUUCGGGUUGUAAACCGCUUUCGCCUGUGACGAAGAGUGAGUGACGGUAAUGGGUAAAGAAGCACCGGCUAACUACGUG